Molecule: ribosomal RNA, 680 nt
Filed under: uncultured bacterium
Lineage: Bacteria
Description: bacterial SSU rRNA
Rfam family: Bacterial small subunit ribosomal RNA
Source: RNAcentral
AAGUCAGAUGUGAAAGCCUUCUGUUCAAAGGAAGAACGGCAUCUGAAACUGCAAAUCUUGAGUGUAGGAGGGGAGAGUGGAACUUCUGGUGGAGCGGUGAAAUGCGUAGAUAUCAGAAGGAACGUCGGCGGCGAAAGCGACUCUCUGGCCUAUUACUGACACUGAGUGUGCGAAAGUUAGGGGAGCAAACGGGAUUAGAUACCCCGGUAGUCCUAACUGUAAACGAUGGGCACUAAGUAGAGGGAAUUACCAAUGUUCUCUCUGCCGUAGCUAACGCAUUAAGUGCCCCGCCUGGGGAGUACGGCCGCAAGGCUAAAACUCAAAAGAAUUGACGGGGGCUCGCACAAGCGGUGGAGCAUGUGGCUUAAUUCGAUGCAACGCGAAAAACCUUACCGGGGUUUGACAUGGUAGAAGUAGGAGCCCGAAAGAGUAACCAACGGUAUCCAGUCCGUAACUACUGCAGGUGUUGCAUGGCUGUCGUCAGCUCGUGUCGUGAGACGUUGGGUUAAGUCCCCUAACGAGCGAAACCCUUAUUUUUAGUUACCAUCGGGUUAUGCCGGGUACUCUAGAAAGACUGCCGUCGUCAAGACGGAGGAAGGUGGGGAUGACGUCAAGUCAUCAUGGCCCUUAUACCCCGGGUUGCACACGUGCUACAAUGGUCGGUACAAAAGGAAGCAAGA